Molecule: ribosomal RNA, 652 nt
Filed under: Hoplobatrachus tigerinus (Indus valley bullfrog)
Lineage: Eukaryota; Metazoa; Chordata; Amphibia; Anura; Dicroglossidae
Description: partial 16S ribosomal RNA
Rfam family: Bacterial large subunit ribosomal RNA (bases 1-545)
Source: RNAcentral
AGGUAGCAUAAUCACUUGUUCCUUAAAUAGGGACUAGUAGGAACGGCAUCACGAGGGCUUUACUGUCUCCUUUCUCCAAUCAGUGAAACUGAUCUCCCCGUGAAGAAGCGGGGAUACCAUUAUAAGACGAGAAGACCCCAUGGAGCUUUAAACCCAACGACACCCCUCAACCCCCACAACCCUUUAUAGUUGCUACAGCCCUGUUCGUUGGUUUUAGGUUGGGGUGACCGCGGAGCAUAAAUUACCCUCCACGACGAAUGGGACUACCCCCUUACCCAAGAGCUACUUCUCUAAGGAUCAAUAAAUUGACGUAAAGUGAUCCAAGUAUUUGAUCAACGGACCAAGUUACCCUGGGGAUAACAGCGCAAUCCAUUUCAAGAGCCCCUAUCGACAAAUGGGUUUACGACCUCGAUGUUGGAUCAGGGUAUCCAAGUGGUGCAGCCGCUACUAAUGGUUUGUUUGUUCAACAAUUAAAACCCUACGUGAUCUGAGUUCAGACCGGAUGAUCGAUCUGUUUAUCAAAAACAAAUACGUGAUCUGAGUUCAGACCGGGCGAUCUGGUCUCAACACCAAACACGUGUAUUUUUUUGAUACACAGAGCGAUCCGGUUCUAAAAAAAAAUAACGUAUAUUUUUUUUAAAAAAGGAGCGAC